Molecule: ribosomal RNA, 432 nt
Filed under: uncultured bacterium
Lineage: Bacteria
Description: partial 16S ribosomal RNA
Rfam family: Bacterial small subunit ribosomal RNA
Source: RNAcentral
AACGAACGCUGGCGGCAUGCCUAACACAUGCAAGUCGAACGAGACCUUCGGGUCUAGUGGCGCACGGGUGCGUAACGCGUGGGAACCUGCCCUUAGGUUCGGAAUAACUCCCCGAAAGGGGUGCUAAUACCGGAUAAUGUCUUCGGACCAAAGAUUUAUCGCCUUUGGAUGGGCCCGCGUUGGAUUAGCUAGUUGGUAGGGUAAAAGCCUACCAAGGCGACGAUCCAUAGCUGGUCUGAGAGGAUGAUCAGCCACACUGGGACUGAGACACGGCCCAGACUCCUCCGGGAGGCAGCAGUGGGGAAUAUUGGACAAGGGGCGAAAGCCUGAUCCAGCAAUGCCGCGUGAGUGAUGAAGGCCUUAGGGUUGUAAAGCUCUUUUACCCGGGAUGAUAAUGACGGUACCGGGAGAAUAAGCCCCGGCUACCUCCGU